This 391-nucleotide ribosomal RNA is filed under the name Draconarius sp. ZZ573. RNAcentral describes it as "partial 16S ribosomal RNA". The record is from RNAcentral. Lineage: Eukaryota; Metazoa; Arthropoda; Arachnida; Araneae; Agelenidae.
CUCAAUGAAAAUUUAAUAGCCGCAAUAUUAUUGUGCUAAGGUAGCAUAAUCAUUUGUUUUUUAAUUAAAAACUAGAACGAAAGAUUCAAUAUUUUUAUCUCUUUCUCAUACAUAAUAUAUAUAAAUUAUUUAAAAUAUUAAAAAAUAUUUAUUCAUAAAAAAGACGACAAGACCCUAUUGAACUUAACUAAAGUUAAACUGGGGAAGUUAAUUAAAUAUUAUUUUAAUUUACAUUUAAAAAAUUUCUAAUAAAAUUAAACAUAUCAAGUUACCAUAGGGAUAACAGCGUAAUAUUUUUCUUAAGAUCUUAUCAAAAAAAUUGUUUGCGACCUCGAUGUUGAAUUAAUAAUCUAUUAAAUGCAAUAAUUUAAUAAGAAAGUCUGUUCGACUU